This 24-nucleotide non-coding RNA is filed under the name Arabidopsis thaliana (thale cress). The record is from RNAcentral. Lineage: Eukaryota; Viridiplantae; Streptophyta; Magnoliopsida; Brassicales; Brassicaceae.
ACAUUAUAUGUUGUUGGUAUUAUC